Long non-coding RNA from Oncorhynchus nerka (sockeye salmon), 958 nucleotides. RefSeq lists it as uncharacterized. NCBI's taxonomy places the organism in Eukaryota, Metazoa, Chordata, Actinopteri, Salmoniformes, Salmonidae. The transcript has 2 exons. The record is from RefSeq and is a predicted model, not a curated record.
UGAUGUUAAUAUAUUAUAUACAGCUGGUGCUGAGAUCCUGGAGAGACCUGUUUAUAUAUGAUGUUUAUAUAUUAUAUACAGUUGGAGCUGUGAUCCUGGAGAGCCCUGCCCUUCCUGUGACUGAGGGAGAUUCUGUGACUCUGCGCUGCAGAUAUCAGGGAACUCCCUCUGACCUCACAGCUCAUUUCUACAAAGAUGGAUCCCUCAUCAGGACUGAGACUACAGGAGAGAUGACCAUCCCUGCAGUAUCCAAGUCAGAUGAAGGACUCUACAAGUGUACCAACUCUGAAGGAGAAUCACCAGAGAGCUGGAUGACUGUGACAGGUGAUCGUGUUGAAGAAGAGUGAGGCUGAGUUCACCUGAUCACCAUAACAACCAUCAGAAUGGAAUUCUCAUAUAGAACUGUGAGUCACAAUGCUGUAUGUUGUUACAUUGUAGCUCCACCUGCUGGAACAAUAGUGGCAUUUGAUCAAAUGUGAUCUAUUAACUGAUACAUGUAUUAUUCUGAUUGGAAUGUGUUUUAAUAUAAUGUGUGUUGUAUUAUUCAUUCAGCAGCUGUCCUUUAACAUCAGUCAUAUACUGGUCAUAUACUGUAUAGCAUUAUGGUUGAUACAUUGUAAAUGCCUUCACUUCUCAUGUCUAUACAGAUCAACUGAUAGGUGUUGUGGUUCAGGCAUUAUUGUUACAGGUUCAGUAUAAUGUUAUAUACCAUUACAUGUUACAGAGAUAGAAAACAUACAGGAGAGGAGAAUUCACUUAUUACAAUUAUUUACUUUAUUUUCCCAUUUUGGUCUCGAUAGUAAUUCUUCAUUAUUUGAUUUGAUUUAAACAUGAAACUAAUGUAGGCCUAUUGUUUUUUGUGGUUUUGUGCAAAAUGAUAAUUAUUCUAUUAAUCAUCCUGGUAAGAUAUUGGUUUAGUCUUUGUGUCAUAUAGAAUUAAAUAAAUGAUUUUCCUCAA